UUUUAGCUACAAUAUUAUAAAUGCAUUACAAACUUUCGCUUUUUGGCCCUUCAAUGUGCAUUGUCAUUUGGGGUUAUGUAAAAUGCAUAAAUGCAACUUAAAGUUUGAUGUGCAUAAAAAAAAUCAACAAAGUGAAAGAACACCCCAAAAUUAUGCUGCACAUUUUCGAAGCAAUAGCAGCGCUUUUCAAACAAUUGCCAAAUAUAAAUCAAAGAAAUCGAACCUGAGGACUUCGAAGACCAAAUAAAAACGCACAAUGUAUAUAUAUUUUUUUAAAUAUUUUAAUACAUUUUCUUUGUUCUUGAAUACAUA
This is a long non-coding RNA of Drosophila simulans, 312 nucleotides long. RefSeq lists it as uncharacterized. Lineage: Eukaryota; Metazoa; Arthropoda; Insecta; Diptera; Drosophilidae. The transcript has 2 exons. The record is from RefSeq and is a predicted model, not a curated record.